This 1054-nucleotide long non-coding RNA is filed under the name Marmota monax (woodchuck). Lineage: Eukaryota; Metazoa; Chordata; Mammalia; Rodentia; Sciuridae. The record is from RNAcentral.
UUUUUUUUAAUUUUUUUUUAAUAUUUAUUUUUCAGUUAUCAGUGGACACAACAUCUUUGUUUGUAUGUGGUGCUGAGGAUCGAACCUGGGCCGCACGCAUGCCAGGCGAGUACGCUACCACCCGAGCCACAUCCCCAGCCCCAUGACUCUCAAUCUUACUCCUGGAACACAGUAAGCACUGUGCCUUCUUAUCUGCAGGUGAUAGCUCCAAAGCCUUCUGAUUCUACCAGUUGUUUCUGAGGUCUUUAGGACCUUGCUUCUUGUGUCUCUCCAUUCCCCAGUGCCUAGUUGUUUUUAUUGUAUGUGGAAAAUUAAAUACCUUGAGGCCUAGGAUGAUGUCAUUCUCCUCCAGUUGGUGCCUGGGGUUAGCUAUCCAGACUCUAAGAAGGCUCCAGAUGACUGGGAGCCAGCUUGCAUCGGAGAAGGCCACAGUGGUUCCUCAAGGUCUCAGACCCAAACAAGGUGAGCUCUAAACUCCUUUUUUUUUUUUUUGGUACCAGGGAUUGAAUCCAGGGUGCUUAAUCACUGAGCCACAUCCCCAGUCCUUUUUGUUUUUUAAAACUUUGAGACGGGAUCUUGGGAUCUCUGAGUUACUUAGGGCCUUGCUAAAUUGCUGAUGCAGGCUUUGAUCCUCCUGCCUCAGCCUCCAGAGUGGCUGGGAUUGCCGGCCUGCACCAGUGCCCACCAGGCCUUAUUUUCCUUAUAAAGGUCUCACAUGUCUUUUGUUGGGUUAAUUCCUAGAAAUUUCAGACUUGUGGUGCUAACAUAAAUGUGGUCUUUUAGGGAUGGCGUUUCUGUUUGUUGUUGUACAGGAAUGUGCUGCGUUUUGUCUGGGUGUACAGCAGAGCACCUUUAGGAGCUUGUUAGUUUCUUGGCUACUUUUCCUUUCUAUGUUGGCUGCGUAGCGUCUUCUGCCCAACAGCAGGCAAGGUGACAGUGGGAUGCCCCAUCAGGUUUGAUUUGAAAGGAAACACUUUGAACAUUUUACCAUUAAGUAUAAUGCUUGCAAAGGAUUUUGGAAGGUAGCCUUUAUCAGAUUUAAGAUUUUAAAUUU